Molecule: long non-coding RNA, 2909 nt
Organism: Gorilla gorilla gorilla (western lowland gorilla)
Lineage: Eukaryota; Metazoa; Chordata; Mammalia; Primates; Hominidae
Exons: 4
Source: RefSeq, a predicted model, not a curated record
UAGACAUGACUUAGACCAAGAGGAGGACAGAGGACUAACAGUCUCUUUGAAUGUGUGAAGGUCUGGCCGUUUUGUAGAGAUGACAGAGACAGAAGCAACGGGGAACACACUUUCUCUGUAACAAGGUCCUUAGGUCUGAAGAGUGCUGUCUGUGAAGUUUACUACGGAUUUGCCUAUUCUGGAUGUUUCAUAUUAAUGGAACCAUAAAAUACGUGGACUGGCUGAUUUUAUUGAGAUAUGAUUUGCAUACCAUAAAAUUCAUCUUUUAAUGAUUGCUGUGGCUCUUACUAGAUCCCUUGCAUUUCCAUAUGAAUUUUAGGGUCAUCUGUCAAUUUCUGCAAAAAUGGCAGCUGGAAUUUUGAGAGAGACUACAUUGAAUCUGUGCCUCAAAUUAGGAGUACGGCCACCCUAGCAAUAAUGCGGUGGCUCAUGACUGUAAUCCCAGCACUUUGGAAGGCUGAAGUGGGAGGACUGCUUGGGACCAGCGCUGGCAACAUAGCAAGGCUUUAUCUCUAUAACAAAAUAAAAACAUUAGCCAGGCAUGGUGGCACAUGCCUGUAGUCCCAGCUACACAGGAGGCUGAGGUGAGAGGAUCAGUUGAGACUAUGAGGUUGAGGCUGCACAGUGAGCUGUGAUUGUACCCCUGCACUCCAGCCUGAGUGACAGAGUGAGACCCUGUCUCAAAAAAAAAAAAAAAAAAUUCUCCUGCAUUGCUUGCACAUUCAGUGGUCUUGCCAGAUAUUCAUGUAGGUGAAAAAGCUGUUUAUAAUUACAUGAUUAUAAAAGCUAGUCUAUUUUGCUUGCAAAAUGCAAAAUGAUUUUGUAAUGUUUAAUAUAAAUAGAAGGUGUUAUGACUUCAACUGCCAUGUAAAUUAAUAGAUUGUUUGAACAAACUUUGUUCACAACUUUUCUAAAUGUAAUCAAGUCACCAAAAGCAACACUUCUUAGGUGUCUGAGGGGCCAAUAUAAUGCACUCAGAUUAGUCUGCAUUUAUAGCUACUGCAUUAACAAUGAUUAAUUCCUAUUAUCUUCUAUUAUAGCUAUGCCAACAUACAUAAAUAUUAAAAUAUACAUUAUUUUAUAAUAAAUUCAUUUCUUUUUAUUUCUCCAAUUAUUUUGCUUACAUUAUAUUGAUAAAAAAUGAAUAAGUAACCCACUGUGGCAGUUAUGGAGUGUAAUUCCUGAUUUUUCAGUUUUCUUUGCCUGACAAACACUAAUUCAUUUUAGUUUUAGUAGUUAAUAAGCAUAAAUGUAGACCCCAAGGCAUUUUUUCUUGCUCUUCUAGUAGACUGAAAUAAUUACACUUGUCUUUCUACCCUGCCCCUGAUCUGUUGGCUAACUAGGGGUCUCAAGUGGAGACACGGUCGCAUUUUCUAUUUUAUCCGGAGAUUUGUAAUUGGCAACCCACUUUCCACCAAGUGUUCUUUCCUCAUUGAGCACCUCUCGUUGAUCUUGACAUAUUGGUGGCAUGAACACAUUCUCUCCCUCACAGAAAACUUAGGAAUUGGGGAAAUGUGACAUCGGAGAUCAUCUACUUGUCUGGUUCUUCUUUGGAAAAGUAAUUUUCCAUACGUGGUGAUUGAUAGGUAAAUCUUUGGCUGUAGAACUCCUCUCCCAACAACGGGUUUCCUUAAAACUAAGUUCAGUUGGUGGAAUUUUUGUCUUUAUAUUCCCCAAACAGCAGCUCCAUUCAUAGAUUGUGAAGUUGAAAUUGUGACGUGUGUGCAAAAUGCAAAGGAUCAUUAUAUUUGCAUUUUUUUUACAAUCUUUGGUGACAAUUUAGUCAUCAUCAGUAUUAUAAUCUUUGAAAGUGAAGACGCUAAAAUAACUAGUGUGCACAUCAGUGUUCAAAAUGGUCAGAACGUGGGAAAAAAGCUAAAAUUCCAUCAAUAAAUGAAUGUAUUAAAACGUGUGGCAUAUAUAUAUAUAUGAAAUGAAAUACUAUUCAACCUUAAAAAGGAGUGAAAUUCUGACACAUGCUGUAACAUAGAUAAAACUUGAAAACACUCUGCUAAGUGAAAGAAAGCAGACACAAAAGGACAAAUACUGUUCGAUUCCACUUAUACGAGGUACUCAAGUAGGCAUAGUCACAGUCAUAGAACAUAAUAGAGGUUACCAGGGACUGAAAGUAGAGGGGACUGGGGAGUUAUUGUUUAAUGGGCACAGAGUUUCUGUUUGGGGAUGAUGAAAAAGUUCUGGAAAUGGAUAUUGAUGAUGGUUGCACAACAUCAUGAAUGUCAUUAAUGCCAUUGAAUCAUAUACUUAAAAAUGGUAAAUUUCAUGUUAUGUAUAUUUUAGCACAAUGAGAGAACACAAAGAAAAAUAAAUUGUAAACCUAGUAUGUUUUACUGAUUUAAAUAUUCUUCACAAAUGAAACUGAAAUGAACAUUUUUCAGAAACAGAAUAGAGAAAAUCUGUGACCUGCAGGUCUGCACUAAAGAACAACUAAAGUUGCCGGGCGCGGUGGCUCAGGCCUGUAAUCCCAGCACUGUGGGAGGCCGAGGCGGGCGGAUCACGAGGUCAGGAGAUGGAGACCAUCCUGGCUAAUCCGUCUCUACUAAAGAUACAAAAAAUUAGCCGGGCAUGGUGGUGGGCACCUGCAGUCCCAGCUACUCGGGAGGCUGAGGCGGGAGAAUGGCGUGAACCCGGGAGGCGGAGCUUGCAGUGAGCCGAGAUGCGCCACCGCACUCCAGCCUGGGGGUCCGUCUAAAAAAAAAAAAAAACUACUAAAGAGAGUUUUAAAGGAGGACGGAAAUGUAGACAUGCAGAAAGGAAUGAAGAGCGAUGGAAAGCGGAAAGCGUAAGUGUGUGUGUAAGGAACUGUCACAGAAUAAAUAUAAAUAUUUAAAUAUAAAAAUAUAAAAAAUAUUUAUAAAAAUAUAAAUAUUUAUUAAAAAUAUAAAGUUCAA